GUAGGUGAACCUGCGGAAGGAUCAUUACAGAGUUCAUGCCCUUACGGGUAGAUCUCCCACCCUUUGAGUACUAUACUUUUGUUGCUUUGGCAGGCCGCUUCGGCUACCGGCUUCGGCUGGUGAGUGCCCGCCGGAGAACCCCAAACCCAACCCAUUUAUAGUGUCGUCUGAGUAAAAUUUUAAUAUUUAAAACUUUCAACAACGGAUCUCUUGGCUCUG
Molecule: unclassified non-coding RNA, 219 nt
Filed under: rhizosphere metagenome
Description: partial ribosomal RNA internal transcribed spacer region
Source: RNAcentral